GGCGAGUUGGCGGAGUGGUGACGCAGCGGAUUGCAAAUCCGUGUAGACCGGUUCGAUUCCGGUACUCGCCUCCA
This 74-nucleotide transfer RNA is filed under the name Roseovarius tolerans. Its description in RNAcentral is "tRNA_Cys_GCA". It matches the Rfam family "tRNA". Rfam says of the family: Transfer RNA (tRNA) molecules are approximately 80 nucleotides in length. Their secondary structure includes four short double-helical elements and three loops (D, anti-codon, and T loops). Lineage: Bacteria; Pseudomonadati; Pseudomonadota; Alphaproteobacteria; Rhodobacterales; Roseobacteraceae. RNAcentral also lists the same sequence under 1 other name. The record is from RNAcentral.